This 1180-nucleotide ribosomal RNA is filed under the name Triticum aestivum (bread wheat). Its description in RNAcentral is "partial small subunit ribosomal RNA". Lineage: Eukaryota; Viridiplantae; Streptophyta; Magnoliopsida; Poales; Poaceae. The record is from RNAcentral.
CCAUCUGUACAAAAACAACUUAUUUAUAAAAAGUAUUUAUGCCCCCGUACUUCUAUUAGAUAAGAAAGAAAUGAGGCAACUGUUACCCUGUUACAAGAAAAACACAAAGUCUCAUUUUUUUGUCUGAGGUUAGACUUAGACUGCUCAUUUUUUUAUAGCAACACAAAGUCUCACAAUGCGUUAAAUAGUUGUUCUCGUUUCUGAGAUUAGACUACUACAUCCUGUCGAAAUUACACUGUCUCCUAGUACCACCAGCUACCUAACACGUGGGCCAUCAUCUGAUCCUUUCCUUGUAAUAAAUGCCUUGUGUUACUAUAAGUCUCGUCGGGACGUGAUACACUCUAAAUCUUCAACCAUGACGGCCGCCUACGUAGGUACACGAUUAGAGGACCGUGGCGCAUCUGCCUCGGUUUGCUCAACCCCGGAGGUCGGCCGACCAUCACCUGUUGUUGUGGCCCAAACAAUUAAUUAGUUGUUCAGUGUCUAACAGGAGAAAAGACUAACCAGACCACACCUAAUAGUCCGGACGGCGCGUUAGUAUCUAAAUAGAAAACUAAAAACACCCACCUGUCUUUGUGGGAAAGAUUUCAAAAGAUCCCUAACAUUACUUCGUGUCAUUGUGUGAGGUCGUAAGUAAGAAACGAACUAUAAUCGUUUGUUACAUUUUAUUGGUUCGAGUGUUGUAAGAUUUCGCCAGAUAAUCGAUGAAGUCGUCUGUUGUCUGUCUUUCUUCAUUCGUCAUAAACUAAACGAGUAUGGGCACCUCCCUAGCUUAAGACGGGUUUCAAACAGCGUCGUGAACACCAGUCGCCGCUCCUACUCGUGGGUGUGGGCGAGGAACAACGACCGGAGACGUAGGAGGAGGGAACUUCGCCCAGAUACGCCCCUCAACUAGAUCUUAUAGGAUAACAAUCUAUAUUGUUUAUCCACUGUUCUUUAUUUGUUCUUGAUACAUCAUGUUAUAUACACAGUGUGUCAUAUGAAACUUUUACACAUUAAACUCUAAGACUAUAUCUACAUCCGGACAUUGUGUGGAACUUGUACGUGACUUUUAACAACAAAUGUCAGAGUAAAGAUUUGGACUACUUUUGGGGAUAAAUUUUUUCCUAAAUUAUCAACAUCACUAAGAAAACAGUCUAACUAUUAUAUAACGUUUAAUACGAACUACCAAUUAAAGAAC